GGCGGGGUAGUCUCGCGUGUGUGAAGCCUGCGUGUAUGCACCGUGUGUGUGCCUGUGUGCACUGUGCGUGCACUGUGUGUGUGGACCAUGUAUGUGCACGUGUGCACCGCGUGUGUGCACCCGUUGGAAACCUGGUGCUGAAACACGGCAGGGCUUAGGCUGGAGUCCUACCUUCAUCGUUUUCACUCGUCCUGUUUCAUCGAGUCUCAAUAAGUUGCCAAGACUGGUCUCAAACUUGUGAUCCUCCUGCCUCAGAC
Molecule: long non-coding RNA, 257 nt
Filed under: Heterocephalus glaber (naked mole-rat)
Lineage: Eukaryota; Metazoa; Chordata; Mammalia; Rodentia; Bathyergidae
Description: lncRNA (ENSHGLG00100033703.1)
Source: RNAcentral